Non-coding RNA from Capra hircus (goat), 438 nucleotides. The record is from the annotation of a RefSeq genome assembly. NCBI's taxonomy places the organism in Eukaryota, Metazoa, Chordata, Mammalia, Artiodactyla, Bovidae.
AUGGACAAGAUAUUGGAAGCAUCAUUCUUAAUUCUGUGUCUUCGAGUAGACUGGGUGAGUGGACAACAGAAGGAAAAAAGCAGCCAAGAGCAGGUGAAACAGAGCCCUCAAUCUUUGACAGUCAAGGAAGGAGAGAUUUCCAUUCUGAACUGUAGUUAUGAGAACAGUUUGUUUGACUACUUCCCAUGGUACCGGAAAUAUCCUGGUAAAGGCCCUGCACUCUUGAUAGCCAUACGUUCAGUUGUGAAUGAAAUGAAGGAUGGAAGACUCACAGUUUUCCUCAAUAAGAGUGCCAAACAGCUCUCAUUGCACAUCGCAACUUCCCAGCCUGGAGACUCAGCCACCUACUUCUGUGCAGCAAGUGCACAGUGCUCCCCAGACACCUGCAGCCUGUACCCAAACCUGCAGCCAAGGCUCCAGACACAUUCUGAAAUGUAG